This 23-nucleotide small nuclear RNA is filed under the name Arabidopsis thaliana (thale cress). RNAcentral describes it as "snRNA_08527". The record is from RNAcentral. Lineage: Eukaryota; Viridiplantae; Streptophyta; Magnoliopsida; Brassicales; Brassicaceae.
UUAUAAUUACCACCGAGCGGCGG